GUGGGGAAUAUUGCACAAUGGGCGGAAGCCUGAUGCAGCAACGCCGCGUGCGGGAUGACGGCCUUCGGGUUGUAAACCGCUUUCAGCAGGGACGAAGCGCAAGUGACGGUACCUGCAGAAGAAGCACCGGCUAACUACGUGCCAGCAGCCGCGGUGAUACGUAGGGUGCGAGCGUUGUCCGGAUUUAUUGGGCGUAAAGAGCUUGUAGGCGGUUGGUUGCGUCGAAAGUGCAAACUCAGGGCUUAACUCUGAGCCUGCUUUCGAUACGGGCUGACUGGAGGAAGGUAGGGGAGAAUGGAAUUCCCGGUGGAGCGGUGGAAUGCGCAGAUAUCGGGAGGAACACCAGUGGCGAAGGCGGUUCUCUGGACCUUUCCUGACGCUGAGAAGCGAAAGCGUGGGGAGCAAACAGGCUUAGAUACCCGGGUAGUCC
RNAcentral lists this ribosomal RNA (430 nucleotides) under uncultured bacterium. RNAcentral describes it as "partial 16S ribosomal RNA". It matches the Rfam family "Bacterial small subunit ribosomal RNA", at positions 354 to 796 of the family's 1533-position model. The record is from RNAcentral.